RNAcentral lists this ribosomal RNA (468 nucleotides) under uncultured bacterium. RNAcentral describes it as "partial 16S ribosomal RNA". It matches the Rfam family "Bacterial small subunit ribosomal RNA", at positions 28 to 507 of the family's 1533-position model. The record is from RNAcentral.
GACGAACGCUGGCGGCGUGCUUAACACAUGCAAGUCGAACGGAAAGGCCCUGCUUUUGUGGGGUGCUCGAGUGGCGAACGGGUGAGUAACACGUGAGUAACCUGCCCUUGACUUUGGGAUAACUUCAGGAAACUGGGGCUAAUACCGGAUAGGAGCUCCUGCUGCAUGGUGGGGGUUGGAAAGUUUCGGCGGUUGGGGAUGGACUCGCGGCUUAUCAGCUUGUUGGUGGGGUAGUGGCUUACCAAGGCUUUGACGGGUAGCCGGCCUGAGAGGGUGACCGGCCACAUUGGGACUGAGAUACGGCCCAGACUCCUAUGGGAGGCAGCAGUGGGGAAUAUUGCACAAUGGGCGGAAGCCUGAUGCAGAAACGCCGCGUGCGGGAUGACGGCCUUUGGGUUGUAAACCGCUUUCGCCUGUGACGAAGCGUGAGUGACGGUAAUGGGUAAAGAAGCACCGGCUAACUACGUG